Molecule: ribosomal RNA, 581 nt
Filed under: Coxiella-like endosymbiont
Lineage: Bacteria; Pseudomonadati; Pseudomonadota; Gammaproteobacteria; Legionellales; Coxiellaceae
Description: bacterial SSU rRNA
Rfam family: Bacterial small subunit ribosomal RNA
Source: RNAcentral
UCGGGUUGUAAAGCACUUUCAAUAGGGAAGAAAUCCUUAAGGAUAAUACCCAUUAGGGACUGACGUUACCUAUAGAAGAAGCACUGGCUAACUCUGUGCCAGCAGCCGCGGUAAUACAGAGAGUGCGAGCGUUAAUCGGAAUCACUGGGCGUAAAGCGCGCGUAGGUUGAUAUUUAAGUCGGAUGUGAAAGCCCUGGGCUUAACUUAGGAAUUGCAUCCGAUACUGGAUGUCUCGAGUAUAGUAGAGGGAAGUGGAAUUUCCGGUGUAGCGGUGAAAUGCGUAGAUAUCGGAAAGAACACCAGUGGCGAAGGCGGCUUCCUGGACUAAUACUGACACUGAGGUGCGAAAGCGUGGGGAGCAAACAGGAUUAGAGACCCUGGUAGUCCACGCCGUCAACGAUGAGAACUAGCUGUUGGAAAGUUUUCUUUUUAGUAGCGAAGCUAACGCGUUAAGUUCUCCGCCUGGGGAGUACGGCCGCAAGGCUAAAACUCAAAGAAAUUGACGGGGGCCCGCACAAGCGGUGGAGCAUGUGGUUUAAUUCGAUGCAACGCGAAAAACCUUACCUACCCUUGACAUCCUC